Molecule: microRNA precursor, 169 nt
Filed under: Oryza nivara
Lineage: Eukaryota; Viridiplantae; Streptophyta; Magnoliopsida; Poales; Poaceae
Description: MIR812 microRNA precursor family
Rfam family: MIR812 microRNA precursor family
Source: Rfam by way of RNAcentral
AAAAAGAAAAACCCUGAGUUUCCGUGUCCAACUUUGAAUAAUUCGUAUUUUCAUUGUUGUUAGAUGAUAAAACAUGAUUAAUAUUUUAUGCGUGACUUGUCUUUUUAAUUUUUUUCAUAAUUUUUUUAAAUAAGACGGACGGUCAAACGUUAGGCAUGGAACCAGGGUU